GACGAACGCUGGCGGCGUGCUUAACACAUGCAAGUCGAACGAAGAGCGAUGGAAGCUUGCUUCUAUCAAUCUUAGUGGCGAACGGGUGAGUAACGCGUAAUCAACCUGCCCUUCAGAGGGGGACAACAGUUGGAAACGACUGCUAAUACCGCAUACGAUCUAAUCUCGGCAUCGAGGAUAGAUGAAAGGUGGCCUCUACAUGUAAGCUAUCACUGAAGGAGGGGAUUGCGUCUGAUUAGCUAGUUGGAGGGGUAACGGCCCACCAAGGCGAUGAUCAGUAGCCGGUCUGAGAGGAUGAACGGCCACAUUGGGACUGUGACACGGCCCAGACUCCUACGGGAGGCAGCAGUGGGGAAUCUUCCGCAAGAGACGAAAGUCUGACGGAGCAACGCCGCGUGAGUGAUGACGGCCUUCGGGUUGUAAAGCUCUGUUAAUCGGGACGAAAGGCCUUCUUGCGAAUAGUGAGAAGGAUUGACGGUACCGGAAUAGAAAGCCACGGCUAACUACGUG
This 510-nucleotide ribosomal RNA is filed under the name uncultured bacterium. Its description in RNAcentral is "partial 16S ribosomal RNA". It matches the Rfam family "Bacterial small subunit ribosomal RNA", at positions 28 to 507 of the family's 1533-position model. The record is from RNAcentral.